This 492-nucleotide ribosomal RNA is filed under the name uncultured bacterium. RNAcentral's name for it is "partial 16S ribosomal RNA". It matches the Rfam family "Bacterial small subunit ribosomal RNA", at positions 29 to 507 of the family's 1533-position model. The record is from RNAcentral.
AGUGAACGCUGGCGGUAGGCCUAACACAUGCAAGUCGAACGGCAGCACAGUAAGAGCUUGCUCUUACGGGUGGCGAGUGGCGGACGGGUGAGGAAUACAUCGGAAUCUACUUUUUCGUGGGGGAUAACGUAGGGAAACUUACGCUAAUACCGCAUACGACUUACGGGUGAAAGCAGGGGAUCUUCGGACCUUGCGCGAUUGAAUGAGCCGAUGUCGGAUUAGCUAGUUGGCGGGGUAAAGGCCCACCAAGGCGACGAUCCGUAGCUGGUCUGAGAGGAUGAUCAGCCACACUGGAACUGAGACACGGUCCAGACUCCUACGGGAGGCAGCAGUGGGGAAUAUUGGACAAUGGGCGCAAGCCUGAUCCAGCCAUACCGCGUGGGUGAAGAGGGCCUUCGGGUUGUAAAGCCCUUUUGUUGGGAAAGAAAAGCAGCAGGUUAAUACCCCGCUGUUCUGACGGUACCCAAAGAAUAAGCACCGGCUAACUUCGUG